CCGAUUCCAUAUUUGCAUUAGAAGUCAAAGUUUAAAAAAAAAAAAAGUGCGAAGAGAAAAAAAGACAGCCAAAAGUUACGGCCAUUUAACGGAUGGCGAGAAGUUACAACCGUCACAUACGAUAGGAAGAUACUUUCCCACUCAAUGUCACUUCUACUGCUGGCCAACCAAUAACCACGAUUAUGACAAUUAGAAUCACGUCCAAUAUCGCCAACUAUCACCAUCUCCUCCUCUCUCUCCAUCACACUACCACCCGCUAACUAUCCUCAAUCCCCUUAGCUGCUUCACUCAUCAGUUGCAUCUUUCACUCGAGUUGCUCUACCUGUCAAACGCCUCCAGUUGACUCAGACCGCAGUCGACUAUCCCGCCAGCAACAAAUCACCACGCAUGUGCUGUUGUUUCUAAAACUUGCCAUCUUGUUCAGUAAACUUCUUUAGAUGAUUGCCAUGGGAAUUUGUUGAACUAGAUCUAGAAUCUCUUAUGCUCUACUCGCAACUUGUUUUAUAUCUUGUAAGGCGAUUUGAAUCUGUGAGUAGAUUAUCUAGCAGUCCAGUUAUCAAUUAUAUUGGAAAUGGAAACUUGCAGCCUCAGUAGCUUGUUUUGAAUCACUUGAGGUAUAUUGCAUUUGGAAAGUUAUUUAGGUAUUUGUGACCCAUUAAACCUCAUAUUAUAAAAUAAAUAAAUGUAAUAUAAUAUCACAUACACUCCAUAUAACAAUUUUUACAUGAAUAACACGUCCAAAGGUCGCGAUCGACCUGUAGGAAUUAAUGGUCUUACUGGAUCCGAUUCAUUUCUUGAUUAGAUCGAGUCUCUUGAGCAAUUUUUUUAUUUUCACAACUUUAGUGACUCUCAUCGUCUUUGUCAUGCGAACAUGGUACUUAUCGAAUCUGCUAGGUGUUAGUAGAGUCCUCUUUGCCUGUUUGUCCUACAAGUUAUCUUGAUAAAGGAAACAACAGAAGAAGUACUUAAUACAUUCAAAGUGGGUUGCUUAAUGUACGCAUAUGAUGGUAUAUUUGACUUGAAGACUGAUAUAGUUUAAGCAAUUUUGCAUAAUUAGUCGGUUAUCUCUAAUAUAGGCAAAAAAUAGAAGAUAUAGUGAAAUGGAUUCUCAAGAAUGGCAAAUGUUGAGGUCGAUUGUUCUCUCCAUUUUCUUCUCUCUUUUCUCGCUCAUUUCUCUUCUUCUCUUCCCUUUCCCCUUCUCUAAUAACUAUUUCGUAAUAUCUUGCAUCAAUUUGGUUAAGAGCAAUUCGUCUUCUUUGUCCUACGAUCCAUAUAAUAUGUCGCAACCUUCCACCAUCCAUCCAAACCUUAUAGUUACUUUUGUACACAAAAAUCUUAGAACAGCACAAAAAGAAAAAUAUUCGUCUUAACACAAACCAAUUCUACAACAUAUACUUAUAUCAAUCACCCAUCAUCCAGACAUCCACUACUACCUGUUUCUACCUCGACCUGCACAAACUCCUUUACUUUCUGUCUAUGUUGGUGUUCUUCAAUUUUGGUAUUUGGAGUAGUAAGAUAUUUAGAUACAGAAAUCUAUGUAUAUAUUUGGCUUAUAAGAGAACUGAUUUCAAAUUGGAAAUUUCCAAAAGUUUGUGGUUAAUUGGACUUUCUUCCCUAAAAUUCUACCUCAACUAGUCUUCAAUAGUUUCAUCGAGCUUAUUGGUAAAUUAGUUUCUGCCUUUUGCUUUCUGUAUUUGCUCAAGAAAUAUUUAGAUUGUUGAUUGAAAAAAAUAAGAGUUAGAAAAAAGAAAGAAAAAUGGAGAGAGAGACAAAGAGACAGAAAAUAAAAUAAAAACUUGUGGUAGUUAGUGCAUUGUCGUUCCCAGCUGUUUCAAGUUCAAUCCCAAUAUUGUAAGCCAGUAAUAUCUGUAUAAACAGUCCACACUACAUAAAAUUAACCCCAUCCCAACGAUUCACAACCAUAAACCCAUUUAUCAAAGGGCAACUUACAAAAAUAUCCUUAAAAUUAAAUGUGUUUUGAAAAAUCAUAUGAAAAGUUUUUAGGAAGUAAAAAAUACUGUGUAAAAUGAAAAAGUGACACAAUGUCACUUUUUUAUAAAAAAAUUAUCACUUUUUUUUCACCAACUCAAAAAAGUGACAAAAUUUAAAAAAAAGUGACUUGAACACUAAAAAAGUUAUAUAAACUCAAAAAAAGUGACACAAACUUAAAAAAAGUAAUAAACACCAUAAUAGAACCAUCCAUUUAUGCAGCACUGAUAAUCAUGUUCUCAACAUAAUCAGCAUAUUCAGGACAAUUCACGUGAACAUAGUGGUGGUUCUUAACAUAAUCAACAUAUUCAUUGUCCACACGCUAAUUAUGUUAGAAAAAAUAUAACAUAUUAUGUCACUUUUUUUAUCUUCUUCAAAAAGUGACAAAUAUUAAAAAAAAGUGACAAAAACUUGACAAAAUACUCAAAAAAGUGACACAGUAUCACUUUUAAAAGUUUAGUGUCACUUUAUUAUUAAAAAAAUGACAUACAAUCUCACUUUUAUUAGAAAAUGAUGUUUGCCACUAAAAAUGUGAUAAAAAUUUCAAGAAAGCAACCAAAAAAAAAGAAGAAGCAAUGAACACUAAAAAAAAGUGACAAAAUAUCAAAAAAAGUGACAAAUACUAAAAAAAGAUGACAAAAAACUCAAAAAAGUGACAAUCUAAAAAAGUGACACAGUAUCACUUUUAAAAGUUUAGUGUCACUUUAUUAGUUAAAAAAUGACAUACAAUCUCACUUUUAUUACAAAAUGAUGUUUGCCACUAAAAAGGUGAUAAAAAUUUCAAGAAGGCAACCAAAAAAAAAAGGAAGAAGCAAGGAACACUUAAAAAAAAAAGUGACAAAAUUUCAAAAAAAGUGACAAAUACUAAAAAAAAGUGACAAAAUUUCAAAAAAGUGACAAAUUUUAAAAAAUGAAACGACAAACACUAAAAAAAAGUGACAAAUUAAAAAAAGAGAUAGAAAUCAAGAAGGUGACAAAUAUUUAAAAAGUGACAAAAUUCCAAAAAGUGAUGGAAAUUUUAAAAAAGUGACACAAUUUCUUUUAUAUGUUAUCUAAUUAUAUUUUACUUCUAUUAACUAACAUAUUGACUUGACUUUGGAAGACAAAAAUUCAAAAAAGUGACAAAUAAAUCAAAACAUUAUAAUAGAUCUAGUAGAUAGUUGAAUUUCUUUUGCAGAUUAUCUUUCCGUAAUUAUAUAUUUUACUUCUAUUAACUAACAUAUUAACUUAAAAUGUAAAGAACCUUCUGAUCAAGAAGCAUGAAUAAGUGCAUCAGGGCACGUGAAAUGAAGAACCAGGAACUCUACUUCCUCUCUACCCACACAACUUCCUCUGUGGGUUCUUUACUUUCAACCUCAAAUUCAUCCUGCAGCAAGUAAACAUAUAACAUCUCCAUUAUCAGGAAAGUAAAUGAACAAAGUGAUCAAAUAACAUCUCUAAUAAGAAAUUUCGCAACCAUGAUCAAAUUGAAACGAAUUAACGAAGCAUUUGACACAAUAAAAAAAAAAAAUGGAAGAACGAAGCAAGUAGAGAAAAGAGAGAGUCUGGGUCAUCAUAUCAUAAUUUAAUCAAUAUGGUGAAUUUCUUAGCAUCAAUCUAUUUGGACAUCAAAAUCGUCAAAUAAAGUUCCAGUAAACUAAAUUUUAAAGUGGAAAUACAGAUGAAGUAUGAAAAUUGGUAUGUUUUCAAAGUAGAAGCUUAGUCUCACAUUUGAGAACAGAACGAGCCAGCGUAUGGAAGGCAUUCAACACUCUUAUACAAAACUUAAAACCUAAUAAUUUAGUAGCUUCUAUUUCAAUAUAUAGUAACUUGGUAUCAAUUGGAGGAUAAUAUCUACCAAGUCUACCUAGAAGUUUUCACCCAGGCUAUGGGAAUUGUCUACCCCAUUUCAAUUUCGUAGUCUUCAUCUUCGCUGGUUGAAGUAGCUCCUUAACGUGGUGGGUGAAGUUCUCUCUCUACAAGAACGUUUGGCGUCGAGGUCGGAGUCGAGAAUGGAGGUUUAUCAUGGGUUUUCUAAUUCAGGGGUUUCCGAUUUGGGGUUUCUAAUUAUUACAGUAGUGA
This 4050-nucleotide long non-coding RNA is filed under the name Olea europaea (common olive). RNAcentral describes it as "long non-coding RNA (OEUR_LNC008554)". The record is from RNAcentral. Lineage: Eukaryota; Viridiplantae; Streptophyta; Magnoliopsida; Lamiales; Oleaceae.